RNAcentral lists this transfer RNA (75 nucleotides) under Hyphomonas sp. 34-62-18. Its description in RNAcentral is "tRNA-Gln". It matches the Rfam family "tRNA". From Rfam's summary of the family: Transfer RNA (tRNA) molecules are approximately 80 nucleotides in length. Their secondary structure includes four short double-helical elements and three loops (D, anti-codon, and T loops). Further hydrogen bonds mediate the characteristic L-shaped molecular structure. tRNAs have two regions of fundamental functional importance: the anti-codon, which is responsible for specific mRNA codon recognition, and the 3' end, to which the tRNAs corresponding amino acid is attached (by aminoacyl-tRNA synthetases). tRNAs cope with the degeneracy of the genetic code in two manners: having more than one tRNA (with a specific anti-codon) for a particular amino acid; and 'wobble' base-pairing, i.e. permitting non-standard base-pairing at the 3rd anti-codon position. The record is from RNAcentral. Lineage: Bacteria; Pseudomonadati; Pseudomonadota; Alphaproteobacteria; Hyphomonadales; Hyphomonadaceae. RNAcentral also lists the same sequence under 1 other name.
UGGGGUGUAGCCAAGUGGUAAGGCAGCGGUUUUUGGUACCGCCAUCCCUAGGUUCGAAUCCUAGCACCCCAGCCA